Molecule: ribosomal RNA, 115 nt
Filed under: Staphylococcus pettenkoferi
Lineage: Bacteria; Bacillati; Bacillota; Bacilli; Caryophanales; Staphylococcaceae
Description: partial 16S ribosomal RNA
Rfam family: Bacterial small subunit ribosomal RNA
Source: RNAcentral
UUUAUGGAGAGUUUGAUCCUGGCUCAGGAUGAACGCUGGCGGCGUGCCUAAUACAUGCAAGUCGAGCGAACAGACGGGGAGCUUGCUCCCCCGAUGUUAGCGGCGGACGGGUGAG